This 419-nucleotide ribosomal RNA is filed under the name uncultured bacterium. RNAcentral's name for it is "bacterial SSU rRNA". It matches the Rfam family "Bacterial small subunit ribosomal RNA", at positions 358 to 774 of the family's 1533-position model. The record is from RNAcentral.
GGAAUCUUCCGCAAUGGGCGAAAGCCUGACGGAGCAACGCCGCGUGAGUGAAGAAGGCCUUCGGGCCGUAAAGCUCUGUUGCCGGGGAAGAGUGGUCUAAGGGGACUUAGACAGGGACGGUACCCGGCGAGGAAGCCACGGCUAACUACGUGCCAGCAGCCGCGGUAAUACGUAGGUGGCAAGCGUUGUCCGGAUUUAUUGGGCGUAAAGCGAGCGCAGGCGGUUUUUUAAGUCUGAUGUGAAAGCCUUCGGCUCAACCGAAGAAGUGCAUCGGAAACUGGGAAACUUGAGUGCAGAAGAGGACAGUGGAACUCCAUGUGUAGCGGUGAAAUGCGUAGAUAUAUGGAAGAACACCAGUGGCGAAGGCGGCUGUCUGGUCUGUAACUGACGCUGAGGCUCGAAAGUAUGGGUAGCAAACA